RNAcentral lists this ribosomal RNA (226 nucleotides) under Gammaproteobacteria bacterium. RNAcentral describes it as "partial 16S ribosomal RNA". The stretch from base 38 to 226 matches the Rfam family "Bacterial small subunit ribosomal RNA", at positions 1 to 185 of the family's 1533-position model. Lineage: Bacteria; Pseudomonadati; Pseudomonadota; Gammaproteobacteria. The record is from RNAcentral.
GAGCCAAGAUUGGCUGCCACAAGCAGCUACUGUGAUUAAACUGAAGAGUUUGAUCCUGGCUCAGAUUGAACGCUGGCGGUAUGCUUAACACAUGCAAGUCGAACGGAAACGAUGGAAGCUUGCUUCCAGGCGUCGAGUGGCGGACGGGUGCGUAACGCGUAGGAAUUUACCUUAUAGUCGGGGACAACUUGGGGAAACUCAAGCUAAUACCGGAUAAUCCUUACGA